UUGCUGGGAAUUGAACUCAGGAUCUCUGGU
Molecule: non-coding RNA, 30 nt
Filed under: Rattus norvegicus (Norway rat)
Lineage: Eukaryota; Metazoa; Chordata; Mammalia; Rodentia; Muridae
Source: RNAcentral